CUGGUAGUACUCAACAUGUUUCUUUGAUUCAGGAAAACCACAAGUAGGAGGAGGAUUCAAUGUUUCAUACUCAUUCCACAUUUCUCUUAGUCGAUAAAAGUAAACAGAUACAGAGGAUACUCAUUGUGUUAAUGUAGCUAUUUUCUUAUGCAUGUAGACUGCCCUAGAAGCAUUACUUUGUCAAAUCUCUCCCUAAGAUCUUUUCAAACAGUAUAGGCAUCUGAUGCAUAGGUUACAGUACUUAGUAGAUUAGGAGAAACAGUAUCCAUAAUACACGCAAGCACUAUUGCAUUAAAUCUAUCCCAUAGUUCAUGAAGGCUAACAUCAUAGUUGCUCUUUUUGCAGGUGCU
Molecule: long non-coding RNA, 350 nt
Filed under: Nicotiana benthamiana
Lineage: Eukaryota; Viridiplantae; Streptophyta; Magnoliopsida; Solanales; Solanaceae
Description: long non-coding RNA (NBEN_LNC034961)
Source: RNAcentral